CCAUGGCUCCCUCUCUCUCCCUCUAGAUCUGUUUCUCCUCUAUUCUAAUUCGGUAGUGCUUAGGCGAAGCCGUGCUGGAUUAGUUCACCACCACCAUCACCAUGCCGUCGUGCUGGAGAACUCAUCUACCUCUCUGCCCCUCUUGCUGGAUCCAGAAUGCGGUGAUCUUCAUUGAGUUGUACGUGUGCUGAACGCGGAGGUGCCGUCCGUUCGGCACUAGAUCGGGAUGGAUCGUGAUGGGAUCGCGAGACGGAUCGUGAUGAGAUCGGGGAACGGGUUGCGAUUUAGAUCGCGAAGAUGUUCCACUACAUCAACUGCAUUAUAUACGCUUUCGCUUAGCGAUCUACAAGGGUAUGUAGAUUCACUCUCCCCUUUCGUAGAUGAUCAUCACCAUGGAUAGGUAUUGCGUGUGCGUAGGAAUUUUUUUUGUUUCUCAUGCAACAUUCCCCCAACACACCAUACAUGUCGUAGUGGACACGCACAGAAGGUUCAGGAACGGGCCUCUCGGUGGUGUAAACCAAC
Molecule: long non-coding RNA, 522 nt
Filed under: Hordeum vulgare
Lineage: Eukaryota; Viridiplantae; Streptophyta; Magnoliopsida; Poales; Poaceae
Description: long non-coding RNA (HVUL_LNC020265)
Source: RNAcentral